GGGAUUGCCCUAGUAACGGCGAGUGAAGCGGCAACAGCUCAAAUUUGAAAUCUGGCGUCUUUGGCGUCCGAGUUGUAAUUUGCAGAGGGCGCUUUGGCAUUGGCAGCGGUCCAAGUUCCUUGGAACAGGACGUCACAGAGGGUGAGAAUCCCGUACGUGGUCGCUAGCCUUUACCGUGUAAAGCCCCUUCGACGAGUCGAGUUGUUUGGGAAUGCAGCUCUAAAUGGGAGGUAAAUUUCUUCUAAAGCUAAAUACUGGCCAGAGACCGAUAGCGCACAAGUAGAGUGAUCGAAAGAUGAAAAGCACUUUGGAAAGAGAGUUAAAAAGCACGUGAAAUUGUUGAAAGGGAAGCGCUUGCAGCCAGACUUGCCUGUAGUUGCUCAUCCGGGUUUUUACCCGGUGCACUCUUCUAUAGGCAGGCCAGCAUCAGUUUGGGCGGUUGGAUAAAGGUCUCUGUCACGUACCUCCUCUCGGGGAGAACUUAUAGGGGAGACGUAAUGCAACCAGCCUGGACUGAGGUCCGCGCAUCUGCUAGGAUGCUGGCGUAAUGGCUGUAAGCGGCCCGUCUUGAAACACGGACCAAGGAGUCUAACAUCUAUGCGAGUGUUUGGGUGUCAAGCCCGAGCGCGUAAUGAAAGUGAACGGAGGUGGGAACCUUUCGGGGUGCACCAUCGACCGAUCCUGAUGUCUUCGGAUGGAUUUGAGUAAGAGCAUAGCUGUUGGGACCCGAAAGAUGGUGAACUAUGCUUGAAUAGGGUGAAGCCAGAGGAAACUCUGGUGGAGGCUCGCAGCGGUUCUGACGUGCAAAUCGAUCGUCAAAUUUGGGCAUAGGGGCGAAAGACUAAUCGAACUAUCUAGUAGCUGGUUCCUGCCGAAGUUUCCCUCAGGAUAGCAGUAACGUUUUCAGUUUUAUGAGGUAAAGCGAAUGAUUAGAGGCCUGGGGGUUGAAACAACCUUCACCUAUUCUCAAACUUUAAAUAUGUAAGAAGUCCUUGUUACUUAAUUGAACGUGGACAGUUGAAUGUAUCGUUACUAGUGGGCCAUUUUUGGUAAGCAGAACUGGCGAUGCGGGAUGAACCGAACGCGGGGUUAAGGUGCCAGAAUAUACGCUCAUCAGACACCACAAAAGGUGUUAGUUCAUCUAGACAGCAGGACGGUGGCCAUGGAAGUCGGAAUCCGCUAAGGAGUGUGUAACAACUCACCUGCCGAAUGAACUAGCCCUGAAAAUGGAUGGCGCUCAAGCGUAUUACCCAUACCCCGCCGCUGGGGCAAGAUUUAAGCCCCAGCGAGUAGGCAGGCGUGGAGGUCCGUGACGAAGCCUGGGGUA
Molecule: ribosomal RNA, 1327 nt
Filed under: Boeremia exigua var. kasensis (nom. inval.)
Lineage: Eukaryota; Fungi; Ascomycota; Dothideomycetes; Pleosporales; Didymellaceae
Description: Boeremia sp. YH-2018b partial large subunit ribosomal RNA
Rfam family: Eukaryotic large subunit ribosomal RNA
Source: RNAcentral